This 451-nucleotide ribosomal RNA is filed under the name uncultured bacterium. RNAcentral's name for it is "partial 16S ribosomal RNA". It matches the Rfam family "Bacterial small subunit ribosomal RNA", at positions 354 to 796 of the family's 1533-position model. The record is from RNAcentral.
GUGGGGAAUAUUGGACAAUGGGGGGAACCCUGAUCCAGCCAUGCCGCGUGUGUGAAGAAGGCCUUUUGGUUGUAAAGCACUUUAAGCGAGGAGGAGGCUACCGAGAUUAAUACUCUUGGAUAGUGGACGUUACUCGCAGAAUAAGCACCGGCUAAUUCUGUGCCAGCAGCCGCGGUAAUACAGAGGGUGCAAGCGUUAAUCGGAUUUACUGGGCGUAAAGCGCGCGUAGGUGGCCAAUUAAGUCAAAUGUGAAAUCCCCGAGCUUAACUUGGGAAUUGCAUUCGAUACUGGUUGGCUAGAGUAUGGGAGAGGAUGGUAGAAUUCCAGGUGUAGCGGUGAAAUGCGUAGAGAUCUGGAGGAAUACCGAUGGCGAAGGCAGCCAUCUGGCCUAAUACUGACACUGAGGUGCGAAAGCAUGGGGAGCAAACAGGAUUAGAAACCCCGGUAGUCC